Molecule: ribosomal RNA, 497 nt
Filed under: uncultured bacterium
Lineage: Bacteria
Description: partial 16S ribosomal RNA
Rfam family: Bacterial small subunit ribosomal RNA
Source: RNAcentral
GAUGAACGCUGGCGGCGUGCCUAAUACAUGCAAGUCGAGCGAACGGACGAGAAGCUUGCUUCUCUGAUGUUAGCGGCGGACGGGUGAGUAACACGUGGAUAACCUACUUAUAAGACUGGGAUAACUUCGGGAAACCGGAGCUAAUACCGGAUGAUAUUUUGAACCGCAUGGUUCAAAAGUGAAAGACGGUCUUGCUGUCACUUAUAGAUGGAUCCGCGCUGCAUUAGCUAGUUGGUAAGGUAACGGCUUACCAAGGCAACGAUGCAUAGCCGACCUGAGAGGGUGAUCGGCCACACUGGAACUGAGACACGGUCCAGACUCCUACGGGAGGCAGCAGUAGGGAAUAUUCCGCAAUGGGCGAAAGCCUGACGGAGCAACGCCGCGUGAGUGAUGAAGGUCUUCGGAUCGUAAAACUCUGUUAUUAGGGAAGAAAAUAUGUGUAAGUAUCUGUGCACAUCUUGACGGUACCUAAUCAGAAAGCCACGGCUAACUACGUG